Long non-coding RNA from Folsomia candida, 414 nucleotides. RefSeq lists it as uncharacterized. NCBI's taxonomy places the organism in Eukaryota, Metazoa, Arthropoda, Collembola, Entomobryomorpha, Isotomidae. The record is from RefSeq and is a predicted model, not a curated record. The transcript has 2 exons.
GAAGGCGACGGCGAGGGCGAUGAAACAUUGCGAUCCGCGGAGGUCAUGAUCGGCGUUGGAGGCACGAUGCAUGUGAAUCUCAUUUGUUGGGGUUCACUUUGUAAUGUGGGAUCUGCUGGCUGUGAUUUUGGAGUCGAGAGAUAAACGUUGUGGUCGGGAAUUGCAGAGUCAAACCCCGUGCUAUCCUCCCACCGUCCUUCUGCCUUGUUUUCCAGAGAGAAGAAUCAUUGCAUUGGGUGUUUCAUCUAAUUUCAUAAUUCAUUAAAUAUACAAGUUACCUUAAGUAGCUUUAUCCAUGCUACAGCUCCUGUAGGAUAUAUGAAAAGGUAGAGAAUAAAGUGACCGAUUAAAAUAUAUGUACAUUUCGUCUAAUGAAUGUUCAGAGAAUUAAUAAAUUACGUAUUAAAGCCAAGA